CCUACGGGUGGCAGCAGUGAGGAAUAUUGGUCAAUGGGCGGGAGCCUGAACCAGCCAAGUCGCGUGAGGGAAGACGGUCCUACGGAUUGUAAACCUCUUUUGCCGGGGAGCAACGGGGUCCUUGCGAGGGCCCGAUGAGAGAACUCGGAGAAAAAGCAUGGGCUAACUCCGUGCCAGCAGCCGCGGUAAUACGGAGGAUGCGGGCGUAAUCCGAAUUUAUUGGGUUAAAGGGGUGCGAAGGCGGGCUGUAAGGUCAGCGGUAAAAUGUCGGGGCCAACCCCCGGCCUGCCGUUGAAACUGGCGGCCUUGAGUGGGCGAGAGGUAUGCGGAAUGCGUGGUGUAGCGGUGAAAUGCUUAGAUAUCACGCAGAACUCCGAUUGCGAAGGCAGCAUACCGGCGCCCUACUGACGCUGAGGCACGAAAGCGUGGGUAUCGAACAGGAUUAGAUACCCCAGUAGUC
This 460-nucleotide ribosomal RNA is filed under the name uncultured bacterium. Its description in RNAcentral is "partial 16S ribosomal RNA". It matches the Rfam family "Bacterial small subunit ribosomal RNA", at positions 338 to 795 of the family's 1533-position model. The record is from RNAcentral.